GGGUUGUUAGCUCAGUUGGUAGAGCAGCUGACUCUUAAUCAGCGGGUCGGGGGUUCGAAACUCUCACAACCCA
This 73-nucleotide transfer RNA is filed under the name Listeria monocytogenes. RNAcentral describes it as "tRNA-Lys". It matches the Rfam family "tRNA". Rfam says of the family: Transfer RNA (tRNA) molecules are approximately 80 nucleotides in length. Their secondary structure includes four short double-helical elements and three loops (D, anti-codon, and T loops). Further hydrogen bonds mediate the characteristic L-shaped molecular structure. tRNAs have two regions of fundamental functional importance: the anti-codon, which is responsible for specific mRNA codon recognition, and the 3' end, to which the tRNAs corresponding amino acid is attached (by aminoacyl-tRNA synthetases). tRNAs cope with the degeneracy of the genetic code in two manners: having more than one tRNA (with a specific anti-codon) for a particular amino acid; and 'wobble' base-pairing, i.e. permitting non-standard base-pairing at the 3rd anti-codon position. The record is from RNAcentral. Lineage: Bacteria; Bacillati; Bacillota; Bacilli; Caryophanales; Listeriaceae.